GCGCCCGUAGCUCAGCCGGAUAGAGCAGCGGCCUUCUAAGCCGACGGUCCCGCGUUCGAGUCGCGGCGGGCGCG
RNAcentral lists this transfer RNA (74 nucleotides) under Myxococcota bacterium. Its description in RNAcentral is "tRNA-Arg". It matches the Rfam family "tRNA". From Rfam's summary of the family: Transfer RNA (tRNA) molecules are approximately 80 nucleotides in length. Their secondary structure includes four short double-helical elements and three loops (D, anti-codon, and T loops). Further hydrogen bonds mediate the characteristic L-shaped molecular structure. tRNAs have two regions of fundamental functional importance: the anti-codon, which is responsible for specific mRNA codon recognition, and the 3' end, to which the tRNAs corresponding amino acid is attached (by aminoacyl-tRNA synthetases). tRNAs cope with the degeneracy of the genetic code in two manners: having more than one tRNA (with a specific anti-codon) for a particular amino acid; and 'wobble' base-pairing, i.e. permitting non-standard base-pairing at the 3rd anti-codon position. Lineage: Bacteria; Pseudomonadati; Myxococcota. The record is from RNAcentral.